RNAcentral lists this ribosomal RNA (701 nucleotides) under uncultured fungus. RNAcentral describes it as "SSU rRNA". It matches the Rfam family "Eukaryotic small subunit ribosomal RNA", at positions 390 to 1092 of the family's 1831-position model. Lineage: Eukaryota; Fungi. The record is from RNAcentral.
GGGAGCCUGAGAAACGGCUACCACAUCCAAGGAUGGCAGCAGGCGCGCAAAUUACCCAAUCCUGACACGGGGAGGUAGUGACAAUAAAUAACAAUACGGGGUUCUUUCGGAUCUCGUAAUUGGAAUGAGUACAAUUUAAAUCUCUUAACGAGGAACAAUUGGAGGGCAAGUCUGGUGCCAGCAGCCGCGGUAAUUCCAGCUCCAAUAGCGUAUAUUAAAGUUGUUGCAGUUAAAAAGCUCGUAGUUGAAUUUCGGGGUUAGUAGGUUGGUCAUGCCUCUGGUAUGUACUGAUCUCACUGAUUCCUCCUUCCUUAUGAACCGUAAUGCCACUAAUUUGGUGUUGCGUGGAAUUUGGACUGUUACUUUGAAAAAAUUAGAGUGUUUAAAGCAGGCUAACGCUUGAAUACAUUAGCAUGGAAUAAUGAAAUAGGACGUUCGAUCUUAUUUUGUUGGUUUCUAGGAUUGACGUAAUGAUUAAUAGGGAUAGUUGGGGGCAUUAGUAUUCAAUUGUCAGAGGUGAAAUUCUUGGAUUUAUUGAAGACUAACUACUGCGAAAGCAUUUGCCAAGGAUGUUUUCAUUAAUCAAGAACGAAAGUUAGGGGAUCGAAGACGAUCAGAUACCGUCGUAGUCUUAACCAUAAACUAUGCCGACUAGGGAUCGGAUGAUGUUAAUUUUUUAAUGGCUCAUUCGGCGCCUUACG